GAUGGUCACCCACACUGGGACUGAGAUACGGCCCAGACUCCUACGGGGGGCAGCAGUCUAGAGGCUUCCACAAUGGACGAAAGUCUGAUGGAGCGACGCCGCGUGCGGGAUGAAGCCUUUACGUGUGUAAACCGCUGUCAUCGGGGAAGAAUGCUCUGAUGGUGAAUCAGAGAAGGACGGUACCCGAGAAGGAAGCCCCGGCUAACUCCGUGCCAGCAGCCGCGGUAAUACGGAGGGGGCAAACGUUGUUCGGAAUUACUGGGCGUAAAGGGUGCGUAGGCGGUUUGAUAAGUCUGAUGUGAAAUCCUGUGGCUCAGCCACAGAACUGCAUUGGAAACUGUCAAGCUCGAGGAUGAGAGAGGCUGGUGGAAUUCCUGGUGUAAGCGGUGGAAUGCGUAGAUAUCAGGAAGAACACUCGUGGCGAAGGCGGCCAGCUGGCUCAUUUCUGACGCUGAGGCACGAAAGCCAGGGGAGCGAACGGGAUUAGAUACCCCGGUAGUCCUGGCCAUAAACGGUGAACACUAGACGUCGGGGGUAUCGACCCCCUCGGUGUCGCAGCAAACGCAUUAAGUGUUCCGCCUGGGAAGUACGACCGCAAGGUUGAAACUCAAAGGAAUUGACGGGGGCCCGCACAAGCGGUGGAGUAUGUGGUUUAAUUCGACGCAACGCGAAGAACCUUACCAGGGCUUAAACUGCAGGGUAAACCUCCUGAAAAGGGGGCUGCUUCGGCGAUCCUGUAGAGGUGCUGCAUGGCUGUCGUCAGCUCGUGUCGUGAGAUGUUGGGUUAAGUCCCGCAACGAGCGCAACCCUUGUCGUUAGUUACCAGCGGAUCAUGCCGGGGACUCUAACGAGACUGCCGUCGUAAGGCGGAGGAAGGUGGGGAUGACGUCAAGUCCUCAUGGCCCUUAUGUCCUGGGCUACACACGUACUACAAUGGUCGGUACAACGGGCAGCGACACUGCGAGGUGAAGCAAAUCCCUUAAAGCCGGCCCCAGUUCAGAUUGCAGUCUGCAACUCGACUGCA
Molecule: ribosomal RNA, 1024 nt
Filed under: uncultured organism
Description: bacterial SSU rRNA
Rfam family: Bacterial small subunit ribosomal RNA
Source: RNAcentral